Molecule: ribosomal RNA, 292 nt
Filed under: uncultured eukaryote
Lineage: Eukaryota
Description: partial 18S ribosomal RNA
Rfam family: Eukaryotic small subunit ribosomal RNA
Source: RNAcentral
GGUUGAUCCUGCCAGUAGUCAUAUGCUUGUCUCAAAGAUUAAGCCAUGCAUGUCCAAGUAUAGAGUAUUUUACUUGAAACUGCGAACGGCUCAUUAAAUCAGUUAUAAUCUACUUGAUUGUAAAAUCUACAUGGAUAACUGUAGUAAUUCUAGAGCUAAUACAUGCAAAAGAUCCCAACUACUCCUCGGAGUGGAAGGGAUGUAUUUAUUAGGUACAAAAUCAAUGUCAGUCCUUGUGGCUGAGUUUUUGAUGAUUCAUAAUAACUAAACGAAGCGCACGACUUUCAGUUGG